RNAcentral lists this unclassified non-coding RNA (2110 nucleotides) under Leishmania donovani. RNAcentral describes it as "gene:unknown". The record is from RNAcentral. Lineage: Eukaryota; Euglenozoa; Kinetoplastea; Trypanosomatida; Trypanosomatidae.
UAUAUGAUACUCGCUUUGUAUAGAGCGUUGCACAAGAGCACACAUUCACAUACACAUGCGCACAUGGAUGACCAGCGCAAGUGAUUGCGGCAGCGAGACACCUGCCCGGAGUGGGCGUAUCCACGCCUUUUUUGUCGAAGUUUGUUGCACCGCGGCGCAAAUGUUGCUGGAAGUCAGUGGGAGGGGGAGGAAGAGGGGACACUCUGUGGAUCGUCGAAGGGUGAUGCUUACCGCGGAGGCUGCCUUCCAUUAGUGGAUCGCUUCGCAGAAAAUAAGCCCUAGAUUGUUUACUGUGAGCGAGGUGUGGCAGUUGUGUGCGCUGCUGCGGGAAGGACUGCGCGCUUUUUCACACUUGCCUUCGUUGCUGAGUUUCUUUGUCACGGGGGAAGAGGGGAGAGUGCCCCGCUAACACGGAUAUGGAGAGAGCUAAGAGUCGUGGCACACUUUUUUGUGUUCGGGUGUGUAGCGUUCAAAGGGCGGUGACAGAGACGAUGAUCAACCGAUUUAUGCGUUCUGUUUGAGCUGAUUUCAUUCACUGAAGCAUCACAUUGACCUUUUUAUGGUCUACCUCUACUGAUCUGCCGUUUGGUCGGACGCUGUGUGCGUGCACUUGUCCCUGCUGGCGCCUCUUAAGUGUUCGAAGGAGUUGUGACAACGCUAUGUAGUGACGGCAUUUCUGCCAAGAGUACGUCCGCGCAGCGGAGUCACUGUGCCUCUGGCUCAGCCUUCCGCACAACGCGGUUCUCGCCGAGAUGCACGCGUCUUCAGCCUCCGCCUCUUCAGAGGCCUCGGCGUACCGCGGCUGGGCUGUUAUGAUUCGAAUCUAUCCAUGCUUUCCGUGACUUCACCCCUCAUGAGCAUACACAGAUACACCAUUGUCAUAGUUACAAUGAACACCUUUUUUUUUUCGCGCUGGUGAGGAAGUGUAGAGGAGGCCGUGCGCGGAAGCUUGCUUCCCUCCCCCUCUUCCCUGUCCUCGCUGGGUCGCGGAUCGCUUUGGAGGAAUGCUGUGCGUGUGCGCACACGCGCCUGUGCUUUCUGGGUGGAUGCGGUGCCAGACUGAGAGAGCGGGAGCGUUUCGCUCGUUGCCGUGGUGUGGACGAUGCCUUUAGGUCCUUCGCCGUGUUCUUUCCGCACACGGCAAAGUUAUUCUGCGGCAUCUAGAUUUUCUGUGCGUGUGUGCGUGUAUGUGCGUGCAGUGCCACGACAGGUUUUUUUUGCUGUACUGCGCACCCCUUCGCGCAGCGGCUGGGCUGUUAUGAUUCGAAUCUAUCCAUGCUUUCCGUGACUUCACCCCUCAUGAGCAUACACAGAUACACCAUUGUCAUAGUUACAAUGAACACCUUUUUUUUUUCGCGCUGGUGAGGAAGUGUAGAGGAGGCCGUGCGCGGAAGCUUGCUUCCCUCCCCCUCUUCCCUGUCCUCGCUGGGUCGCGGAUCGCUUUGGAGGAAUGCUGUGCGUGUGCGCACACGCGCCUGUGCUUUCUGGGUGGAUGCGGUGCCAGACUGAGAGAGCGGGAGCGUUUCGCUCGUUGCCGUGGUGUGGACGAUGCCUUUAGGUCCUUCGCCGUGUUCUUUCCGCACACGGCAAAGUUAUUCUGCGGCAUCUAGAUUUUCUGUGCGUGUGUGCGUGUAUGUGCGUGCAGUGCCACGACAGGUUUUUUUUGCUGUACUGCGCAUCCCUUCGCGCGGCGGCUGGGCUGUUAUGAUUCGAAUCUAUCCAUGCUUUCCGUGACUUCACCCCUCAUGAGCAUACACAGAUACACCAUUGUCAUAGUUACAAUGAACCGCGUAUGUUCCCUCGAAGGUUGUAGAAAGUUGUGAGCCGUGACACAGUUGAAUCACGCCCAAGGUCUUGCCGUAGACGGAUGCGGUGAGAUGUGGUGCAAGCCACCUAGCACCACUGUCUUCGCAAUAGACCCCCCAAAACAGUACCGGCAACGGAGCAGAGUAGUAAGAAGGCGAAGACAUCCCAGUUUAAAGACCGGUGACGGUAUGCUUUGCGAAUGCAGUCGCGAGCUGACGCAGGAUGACUCAGUAAGCUACAGAGUACGUCUGACACGUCAGCGCUUUUUUUUUGCGGUGCCAGCGCAUUAUGUCCGCCUCGUCUC